AAAAAUCCAUUUGUCACAAACAUAUUGGGUGCCCAUGCUAUUUCAAAUACCCUUCUUGGCAUUUGUUUCACUCUCUAUGUAGUGAGAUCUCGGUAACCACAUUUUUUAAAUCUCUCUAGUCUUGGGUAGAAGAGUAAAUGAGUAGAAAACAUUCACUACGAUUCACAACUUUUAUUUUCCUUUUCUACAUACAGGUACUUUAGCUUAAACAAGGCUCAGUUUCUUUAUGAAAAUUAUGUGCGUGAGUCUCUCAACAGGCCCCUAGUUUUCCUAAAGUGCUGCAGGUCACAAAGACUUUCUGACAUCUUCAGGUCUCUUAACAAAGAAGGGUCCCAGCCUUUGCCUCUGAGUGAAACCAGGAUCUAACUGAGUCCAAGAGGAACACAGACCAUCUGUUUCCUUUGGUGAUACAGUAUCUCAGUCCACAAUGUGGUUCCAAAUGAAUAAUGGAGAUUGGUUUUUACAAGCCAGCUUUAUCUGUUGCAGCAAUGAUUAAUAACCCCAUGGCCAACCUUGCUUAUAAAAAGAGAGAAAACAUGUGAAAACAAUUUUGUAUCUGAGUGAGAUGAAUCCAUAUUUUGUAAGUAAGAUUAAAGUCAACAUAAGCAGAUGCCAUGGAGUUUAGAGAUUUCCCUUAUUGGGCUGUGUAAAAGAAACCACUGAAGCAUGCACGGCUUGCACUGGAAACCAGGUUCCAAAAUAAGCCUAGUAUGCAGCCUCAGACAAAUGACUUAAGAUCUCUAAGCCUCAUUCAAAUGACUUAAGAUUUCUAAGCCUUCAUUUCACUUAUCUGAAAUAAGGAUAAUGGUGUAUGCUUUAUAGUAUUUGGGUAAAAAUUGAUUAUUCCAUGUACAGUAUUUGGGUAAAAAUUGAUUAUUGCAUGUAAAAUAUGCUAAACUACAUAGUAUGCCAUGUUGUAUUUGGUAAAAUUAUUUUUGGAAUGGGGUUUUUUUGUGUGUGUGUAUGUGUGUGUGUGUGAGUGUGUGUGCCUGAUUCCACUCCAACCCUUAAAGGUCUCCUCACCCCAAAUUUGCUCUUGAUUUGGGCCGAGUGACUUCCAUGAAGGUUCCUGAAACUUUUUCUCCAACUUUGUGCCUUAUUUGACUUCUCAACACUAUUCUGUCAUUUCUUCAGCUCUCCUCCCUUGACGUCUUUUACAACACAUUCUUUUUUUUUUCCUACCUCUCUGAUCUGAUGUGUGUUCUCUUUCUUUCUCUUUCUCUCUCUCUUUCUCUCACACACACACACCCACCCGCACACACACACACAAACUCCCCCCUCUUUUAUCUCUCUCUCUUCCCUUUUCUGUUAGUAAAAGGCCACUAAACAUUUCAUCCCUUCAAGGCUUAAUCCUAGGGCACUAUUUAUUGUUUUUACUCAAGUGGAAACUCUAGGAGAUACAUUUAAGCCCAUGUUUUCAAAUAUCAUCUAUACCCAGAUGACUCAAAUUACAAAUCUCUAAUGUAAGAUUAAAAUUACCUUUUGUGCUCUAGAACUGAAUAAAACCAAGCAGCUCCAGAACGACUCUCUUUGAAUGAUUAUGUAACAGGAUAUCCCUAAACCUGGUUCUUUUCCUGGGCUCCCUACUGUGUUGUCACUUUCUUCUCUGUUAUACAUGAUCCUUGACACACCCUGCUCUCUCGUCCCACAUAUUCCAUCCACCAUCCAGCUGUAUUUAUUUUCCCCCUGAAAUAUUCCUUGCUUUUACUUUGUAAAAUUAUGUUAACUGAUGCAUCAUAAUUAUACAUAUUUAUCAGUAACCGUGUGAUAUUUCAAUACAUUUAUGUACUAUGUAAUGAUCAAAUCAGGGCAAUUUGCACACCUAUUACCUCAAACACUGUUGUGACAUUUCAGCAACUACCUUACAACCUCUCAAUCGCAUUUCUCAGUAAGUUAGUUCUUAGAUGGUCAUGAUAAUCAGUUUAGUUAUUUUGACUUUGGUAAGCUUGCUGAUACCAUUUUGGGCUGAAUAAUUCUUUGUUGAGGGGGGCUGCCUUGCAUCACCUUUGGCUUCUAUGCACUAGAUGCCAGUAGCGUAGCACUCUACCCUCAAGUUCCGACAAUCAAAAACUGCUCCAAACAUUGCCAAAUGUCCAUCAGUGGGCAUAGAAAGCAAAAUUACUUCCAUUUGAGAACCACAAUCAAUUCAUUUCUUUCCAUUUUGUCUUGCAGAUAUAGACCAAGGUUUCCUAUUCUCUUUCCUGGAUGGACAAAAUAGGCUUUUAACUGGGCACCCAAAUCUAUACUGCUACUCUUUCCAUUCUUCCUGUGAUGUGGAGUGAGUGCUGAAAUCAGCUGGGGUCUGCUCUGUCAUACAGUUACUGUGUGAUUUUGGACAAAAUCAUUAAUGUUUCUCAACUCUUCACUCUUGCCAUGGGUAAACAGUACAAAUAUUAUAGGGUUGUUGUGAGUAUCAAAUAUGUAGUACAUGCAUGGUGCUCAAAACAGUGGCUGGCAUAGGGUUUAAACUUUCAAUGAAUAUUAUUUAUGGUAGCCAGAAUUGUCUUUGAAAACAGAAGUCUUAUGAGAACCAAUGAAAUGCGAUAAUACCAGCUCUCAGCUAAUAGGUUUGUCUGGCAUUGUUCCUGCUCACACAGUCUUAUGUUGCAAAAGGCUCCAUCCUGAUACCUGCCCUCUAGAUACUUUGUUUUGGUUUAUGCUAUUUCAUAUUUAUCCAAGAUAUUUGUACCAGGAAUACUUUAGGCCUCUUCCUGUCUGUUCUCUCAGAAAUGCCCUUUUUUCUCUAUCUCUAUAAUCGUUGCCUAUUUCACUUCUAUCCUUCCUCAGUUUUCAGUCCAAUCACUACUUUUGCAGAGAAGCCUUCCCUGGCUUGUAUGACUAGAUUGAUUAACCCUAUUUUACCAAUUGAUAUAUGUUAUACUUCUUUUAAACAUUAAUUCAUUUGCUAUUAAUUUUUUGUGUGAUUCUUUGUAUGCUUUCUCCACUAGACUAUAAAUUAUUUGAGUGCAAAGUUUUUUUUUUUUGUUUGGGUGGUGGUUUUAGUUUUGCUUGGUGUUAGACUCAUGUCAAGCAUAAUUAUGGACUUAUCAUAGACAUUCAAUAAAUAAUU
RNAcentral lists this long non-coding RNA (3070 nucleotides) under Homo sapiens (human). RNAcentral's name for it is "HSALNT0039214". The record is from RNAcentral. Lineage: Eukaryota; Metazoa; Chordata; Mammalia; Primates; Hominidae.